This 926-nucleotide ribosomal RNA is filed under the name uncultured bacterium. RNAcentral's name for it is "bacterial SSU rRNA". It matches the Rfam family "Bacterial small subunit ribosomal RNA", at positions 1 to 917 of the family's 1533-position model. The record is from RNAcentral. RNAcentral also lists the same sequence under 1 other name.
UGGAUCCAGACUUUGAUCCUGGCUCAGGAUGAACGCUAGCUACAGGCUUAACACAUGCAAGUCGAGGGGAAACGACAUCGAAAGCUUGCUUUUGAUGGGCGUCGACCGGCGCACGGGUGAGUAACGCGUAUCCAAUCUGCCCACCACUUGGGGAUAACCUUGCGAAAGUAAGACUAAUACCCAAUGAUAUCUCUAGAAGACAUCUGAAGGAGAUUAAAGAUUUAUCGGUGAUGGAUGGGGAUGCGUCUGAUUAGCUUGUUGGCGGGGUAACGGCCCACCAAGGCUACGAUCAGUAGGGGUUCUGAGAGGAAGGUCCCCCACAUUGGAACUGAGACACGGUCCAAACUCCUACGGGAGGCAGCUGUGAGGAAUAUUGGUCAAUGGGCGAGAGCCUGAGCCAGCCAAGUAGCGUGCAGGAUGACGGCCCUAUGGGUUGUAAACUGCUUUUAUAAGGGAAUAAAGUGGGAGUCGUGACUCUUUUUGCAUGUACCUUAUGAAUAAGGACCGGCUAAUUCCGUGCCAGCAGCCGCGGUAAUACGAAAGGUCCGGGCGUUAUCCGGAUUUAUUGGGUUUAAAGGGAGCGUAGGCCGGAGAUUAAGCGUGUUGUGAAAUGUAGAUGCUCAACAUCUGCACUGCAGCGCGAACUGGUUUCCUUGAGUACGCACAAAGUGGGUGGAAUUCGUGGUGUAGCGGUGAAAUGCUUAGAUAUCACGAAGAACUCCGAUUGCGAAGGCAGCUCACUGGAGCGCAACUGACGCUGAAGCUCGAAAGUGCGGGUAUCGAACAGGAUUAGAUACCCUGGUAGUCCGCACGGUAAACGAUGGAUGCCCGCUGUUGGUCUGAAUAGGUCAGCGGCCAAGCGAAAGCAUUAAGCAUCCCACCUGGGGAGUACGCCGGCAACGGUGCAACUCAAAGGAAUUGACGGA